This 243-nucleotide long non-coding RNA is filed under the name Trifolium pratense (red clover). Its description in RNAcentral is "long non-coding RNA (TPRA_LNC000362)". The record is from RNAcentral. Lineage: Eukaryota; Viridiplantae; Streptophyta; Magnoliopsida; Fabales; Fabaceae.
AGCGUAUGAGCCACCAAAUUUGUUUGUCUCCUAACAAACUUUACCUCAAAAUUUACAAAAAAUGACAUAAUAUGAAUAAUAUAAGCAACAAUUAAACGAACUUCAGAGGUACCUUAACGCUUCAAAUGGAUUGCAAGCAAAAGGGCUCGAUCAAACCCCCUCAGCCUCUUCUAUAGCAAGCAAAAGAGCUCGUGCUACCCCCCUUCAAAGUUGAUAGUUGCACGGCCACAAAGUGGCCUAAAU